UCCCUGUUGGCUCAGAAUGUAAAGAAUCUGCCUGCAAUGCAGGAGACUCAGGUUCCAUCCCUGGGUUGGGAA
This is a non-coding RNA of Bos taurus (domestic cattle), 72 nucleotides long. The record is from Rfam. Lineage: Eukaryota; Metazoa; Chordata; Mammalia; Artiodactyla; Bovidae.